CAGCCGCCACGGGAAUACGGAGGGUGCAAGCGUUAAUCGGAAUUACUGGGCGUAAAGCGCACGCAGGCGGUUUGUUAAGUCAGAUGUGAAAUCCCCGAGCUUAACUUGGGAACUGCAUUUGAAACUGGCAAGCUAGAGUCUUGUAGAGGGGGGUAGAAUUCCAGGUGUAGCGGUGAAACGCGUAGAGAUCUGGAGGAAUACCGGUGGCGAAGGCGGCCCCCUGGACAAAGACUGACGCUCAGGUGCGAAAGCGUGGGGAGCAAACAGGAUUAGAUACCCGGGUAGUCCCUGUCUCUUAUAC
Molecule: ribosomal RNA, 301 nt
Filed under: uncultured bacterium
Lineage: Bacteria
Description: partial 16S ribosomal RNA
Rfam family: Bacterial small subunit ribosomal RNA
Source: RNAcentral